Molecule: non-coding RNA, 25 nt
Filed under: Mus musculus (house mouse)
Lineage: Eukaryota; Metazoa; Chordata; Mammalia; Rodentia; Muridae
Source: RNAcentral
UCAUUGGAGUCAAGAUUGAGUGCCA